Molecule: unclassified non-coding RNA, 223 nt
Filed under: uncultured Cantharellales
Lineage: Eukaryota; Fungi; Basidiomycota; Agaricomycetes; Cantharellales
Description: sequence contains ITS2
Source: RNAcentral
AUACCUCAAGCCGGAUGCUUUAUUGCAAUCUUUGGCUUGGAUUUGGGCUUUGCCGUGGCUUCUUUUAGUACGGCUGGUCUUAAAUGUAUUAGCUGGUCCAUGUUAUAUGUUUGGUUCGACUCGGCGUGAUAAGUUUACGAUCGCUGAGGACAUUUGCUUUCGGGCGGAUGGCCAGAUGUGUCUUGGAUUGCUUCUAAUCGUCUCUUUGAGACAACUUUUUCAA